GUAUAAGAGACAGCAGUAGCCGCGGGAACACGGAGGGUGCAAGCGUUAAUCGGAAUUACUGGGCGUAAAGCGCACGCAGGCGGUCUGACAAGUCAGAUGUGAAAUCCCCGGGCUUAACCUGGGAACUGCAUUUGAAACUGUCAGGCUGGAGUCUUGUAGAGGGGGGUGGAAUUCCAGGUGUAGCGGUGAAAUGCGUAGAGAUCUGGAGGAAUACCGGUGGCGAAGGCGGCCCCCUGGACAAAGACUGACGCUCAGGUGCGAAAGCGUGGGGAGCAAACAGGAUUAGAUACCCCGGUAGUCCCUGUCUCUUAUAC
Molecule: ribosomal RNA, 314 nt
Filed under: uncultured bacterium
Lineage: Bacteria
Description: partial 16S ribosomal RNA
Rfam family: Bacterial small subunit ribosomal RNA
Source: RNAcentral